GCAAGGAGCCGCAGGGGAGCCUGGCCUGAGGAAGGGGGCGGGAGCAGCAAAGCCAUUUGUAUUGGGGGAGUGGCGCGCGCAGACCGGGCGCGUGCUGCCCAUCUGCUUCCAUCACUGCGUGCAAAACCAAGCCGUACCGCAACCCCGGAUCACUGCUAUUUUAUUACACGAGGUUUCACCAGAACGCUCCGUGUGUUUACGUGACGCCCGAUCUCGGUUCCGUUGCGCUCACAGAUCACCCCACAACGUCCGCUGCGCAUAAGUGCCCCGUCAGCAGCAAAUCCCGCCGUCUGCAGCGCACGGCCGCCCCGCCCAACAGCGCCCCGCCCCAGCAGGCAGAGGCGUGCGGCGUCACGAGGGCGGCCGCGAGGGCGCGCAUGCGCACGAGGCGGGGCUGACGAGCAGUGAGAGGGCGGGGAUAAAAGCACGUGCCGUAGAGAAGGCGUUUAUCGGUUCUUGCGAGGGAGGCAGCACGUGCGCGCCUUCUCAGUUUGUUCGGCGCCGUUAUGCUGUAGAGCGGCAGUUGUGGUCACGAGCGUGCAGUCGUGCGCGCCUGAGGAGGCUUGUGGUGAAGGCGAAGCGCUGUGUCUGCGCCCGCUGAGGUUAUUUCUGAGUUAUUCCACGCUUCACAACGUGUGCGCAGAGUUAAUUGCAGUAAAGGAAUGAGAGAAGAAAUAUAUGGAGUUUCGAUUUUAACGUGGUAUUUCCUGAGUGUAAGUAUGUGUUAUCUUUUUUUAAUCAGUCGAUGCUUUGCAUAAAUGUGAUGCUGAACAACACUGAAGGGCUGAGCCAUCCACGUCCUGAUAAAUCUGCUUCCAGUGCAAGUUGUGCCUGUACCUUUUGCAUACCUUUUAGGUGGCUGCUAUUCCCAUAUAAUACGUGAGCAUUUUCCUUUUAGUCACUGAUUAACUGCCUCCC
Molecule: long non-coding RNA, 918 nt
Filed under: Gallus gallus (chicken)
Lineage: Eukaryota; Metazoa; Chordata; Aves; Galliformes; Phasianidae
Source: RNAcentral